This 301-nucleotide ribosomal RNA is filed under the name uncultured bacterium. RNAcentral describes it as "partial 16S ribosomal RNA". It matches the Rfam family "Bacterial small subunit ribosomal RNA", at positions 509 to 807 of the family's 1533-position model. The record is from RNAcentral.
CAGUAGCCGCGGGAAUACGUAGGGUGCGAGCGUUAAUCGGAAUUACUGGGCGUAAAGCGUGCGCAGGCGGUUUUGUAAGACAGGCGUGAAAUCCCCGGGCUCAACCUGGGAAUGGCGCUUGUGACUGCAAAGCUAGAGUGCGGCAGAGGGGGAUGGAAUUCCGCGUGUAGCAGUGAAAUGCGUAGAUAUGCGGAGGAACACCGAUGGCGAAGGCAAUCCCCUGGGCCUGCACUGACGCUCAUGCACGAAAGCGUGGGGAGCAAACAGGAUUAGAUACCCCGGUAGUCCCUGUCUCUUAUAC